This 260-nucleotide unclassified non-coding RNA is filed under the name Hevea brasiliensis (rubber tree). The record is from RNAcentral. Lineage: Eukaryota; Viridiplantae; Streptophyta; Magnoliopsida; Malpighiales; Euphorbiaceae.
CUUGUUUAGGUAAUGCAGCUCCUUGUUGAUGUUGGGUGUGGCCAUCAUUGUCAUCUGCAUGAGUUGACCCUGAUAAUAUCUUCCAUCAAGCUUCUUAAUACCGUAACCCAGUUGAAUGGUACCAAAUGAUUUUAUAUCAGUAAGAACUCCAUUUCUACCGUAAACAUGUUUUCCCACUCGAGCAACCAAAUCCAUCAAUGCUUCCUUUCUUACAUGAGGUUUCAACAGAAGCAUGCAAUCAUAAAGAGGCAUUUUUUUUU